UUUUUUUUUAGAAUAGUUUUCCUCUCGCACUCGAAACAAAGACUCUAUUUAAGAAGACUUCCCCAAUUACUCUCUCCCUGGCCAUGAAAUUUGGGGAUUAGGGUUUGACAAAGUUCUCAAACCCUUUCUUGCAAUGGCUGUUUGUUCGCUACCUAUAUCGGGCUCACAUUUCUCUCACCAUAGACCACUUAUAACCGUUGGCUUUCUCUCGACGACCGGCCUUCGAUGAUAGAAGAUGAAGAGUUGAAGAUUACAGCUAAGGAAGACUCAGUACUCAUCGAAAAGGGGAGUAUUUUUUCUUUUCAAUUAGCAUUUGCUGGAUCUAUCAUUGUUUCAGUGGCAUUGUGAUUUUUAUUUACUUUUUUCUCUCAGGAUUUACUAUUGGACAGAUUUCAAUGUUGGGUGGUUUCUCACCCGGGCAGGAACUUACUUUCAUUGUAGCUGGAAAAGGAUGCAGACAUUGACACAAAUUUGAAUUGUGGCAUAAUACUACCCAGGAAGAUUGCUACAAUUUCAUCCAAUGACACGUGAUGGAAAUAAAUCUACGUAGGAAGGCUGUUGGAACUUCCUUGAGAACAAAACCAGUUAUGCUUGAUAGAAAUGCAACUACCCAGGAAGGCUAGGGCUACCUUUUUUAGAACAAAGCCAAAAACAGUUGAUGGAGAUGUUUGGCGAUGUUAGAUAGUGUGCU
This is a long non-coding RNA of Rosa chinensis, 691 nucleotides long. RefSeq lists it as uncharacterized. NCBI's taxonomy places the organism in Eukaryota, Viridiplantae, Streptophyta, Magnoliopsida, Rosales, Rosaceae. The record is from RefSeq and is a predicted model, not a curated record. The transcript is spliced from 3 exons.